ACGACUCUCGGCAACGGAUAUCUCGGCUCUCGCAUCGAUGAAGAACGUAGCGAAAUGCGAUACUUGGUGUGAAUUGCAGAAUCCCGUGAACCAUCGAGUCUUUGAACGCAAGUUGCGCCCGAAGCCUUCAGGCCGAGGGCACGUCUGCCUGGGCGUCACG
This 160-nucleotide ribosomal RNA is filed under the name Elsholtzia densa. Its description in RNAcentral is "5.8S ribosomal RNA". It matches the Rfam family "5.8S ribosomal RNA". From Rfam's summary of the family: 5.8S ribosomal RNA (5.8S rRNA) is a component of the large subunit of the eukaryotic ribosome. It is transcribed by RNA polymerase I as part of the 45S precursor that also contains 18S and 28S rRNA. Lineage: Eukaryota; Viridiplantae; Streptophyta; Magnoliopsida; Lamiales; Lamiaceae. The record is from RNAcentral.